CGAACGCUGGCGGCAUGCCUAACACAUGCAAGUCGAACGAGACCUUCGGGUCUAGUGGCGCACGGGUGCGUAACGCGUGGGAACCUGCCCUUAGGUUCGGAAUAACUCCCCGAAAGGGGUGCUAAUACCGGAUAAUGUCUUCGGACCAAAGAUUUAUCGCCUUUGGAUGGGCCCGCGUUAGAUUAGCUAGUUGGUAGGGUAAAAGCCUACCAAGGCGACGAUCCAUAGCUGGUCUGAGAGGAUGAUCAGCCACACUGGGACUGAGACACGGCCCAGACUCCUACGGGAGGCAGCAGUGGGGAAUAUUGGACAAUGGGCGAAAGCCUGAUCCAGCAAUGCCGCGUGAGUGAUGAAGGCCUUAGGGUUGUAAAGCUCUUUUACCCGGGAUGAUAAUGACAGUACCGGGAGAAUAAGCUCCGGCUAACUCCGUG
RNAcentral lists this ribosomal RNA (431 nucleotides) under uncultured bacterium. RNAcentral's name for it is "partial 16S ribosomal RNA". It matches the Rfam family "Bacterial small subunit ribosomal RNA", at positions 30 to 507 of the family's 1533-position model. The record is from RNAcentral.